This 342-nucleotide ribosomal RNA is filed under the name Coridius nepalensis. RNAcentral's name for it is "partial 12S ribosomal RNA". Lineage: Eukaryota; Metazoa; Arthropoda; Insecta; Hemiptera; Dinidoridae. The record is from RNAcentral.
UGAUACCCUAUUAUUUUGAAUGUAAAUUGUUCUGUUUAGUACUAAUAGUUUUGAUCUUUAAAUUAAAAGAAUUUGACGGUAAUUUGAUCAUUCCAGAGGAACUUGUCCUUUAAUUGAUAACCCACGAUAAAUUUUACCUUAAUUUAUGGUUUGUAUAUCUCUGUUUAAGAAUAUUUUAAUAGGAUAUUUAUAUUCUAUCUUUAUUAUUUAUAUAAAAUAUAUCAGGUCAAGGUGCAGCUAUAUUAAGGGUUGAGAUGAGUUACAUUUAAAUUAUUAUUAUUGAAUGUGUAUAUUUAUUUAUAUAUUGAAAUUGGAUUUGGAAGUAAUAAUUAUUAUAUAUUA